UCUAUUAUUUUAUUAACAAAACCUAAAUAUUCUAGACAAGAAUGGAAAGUGAACAAUUCUUAUUUGAUAAUACUGAAGAAGAGGUUGAGGAUGAAACUAAUAAUACUCUGGCGUUUAAUCCCAGAAUUAACGAUAUCAACAUCAACGAUCAAGAGUCUGUGCCAGAGUUUAGUUGUGCUCUGCCUAGAUUGGUGUGUAGAUUCUUAGAGGGAACAGAGCCGACAAUCAUAAUUAUAAUUGGGUCUAUACUUGGAGUUUGUAUAGCAUUUUUCAUGGGAUUCACGCUGUACAGAAGGUUUAGUUCCACUUCAGGAAAAAAAACUAAUUUUUUAUUU
Eurytemora carolleeae is the source of this 335-nucleotide long non-coding RNA. RefSeq lists it as uncharacterized. The transcript has 3 exons. The record is from RefSeq and is a predicted model, not a curated record. NCBI's taxonomy places the organism in Eukaryota, Metazoa, Arthropoda, Copepoda, Calanoida, Temoridae.